Molecule: long non-coding RNA, 1052 nt
Filed under: Marmota monax (woodchuck)
Lineage: Eukaryota; Metazoa; Chordata; Mammalia; Rodentia; Sciuridae
Source: RNAcentral
UAAUUUGAAGUGACUAUGAGGAAGGAUCUCACCUAUGCAACCUAAGAGGACUCCAAAAGGAACCUAUGUUCACCUGUAAGUCUACCAGUCAAGUGAGACUGAAGAAGAACACAGAGUGAAGGCCGCCAUAGUGAGUAUCAGGAGAGGCCCCAGGGAACCUUUUGUUCCUCCUGAGACUACUGUUAUCCUGUUUCCACAAGUCGGGCACCUGAGGCUGGAUGUAUUCAAGGACAGAGCAGGUCCCAUCUGAGUCUGGGAAUAGAGGGUCUUCCAGUGCCCACUAAGCCAAAUGUUGCCUUUCUGCUCCUUGGCCACAGGUCUGUCCACUGGAUAGAAUGGGCCCAUGGUUCAAGGAGCCACCAGACACCAUUCACUGGGUUGUCCCUGGACUAGAGAGUCAGCCAAUGUGGUUUUGACUUGGAAAAAUGCUAUAAUAGUCUUCCUCUCAAUAAGCUAAUCUCAUGGAAUGUGCAGAAGGAAAAGACCACCAGUAUAAGGUAGUGGAAGAAAGGGUAGGACAGCAAUUGUCAUGCUUUCUUCUCUUCCCUGAACAGAAUCCGUGAACAACUGCAAAUAGGUCAUGGUUCCAUGACAGAAGAGUGAGCCCUUCUGCUUCCAAGGGGCUUGGGGCAGGGUCCUUCUAACUCAGCUUGGUGUCUUCAUCCGAUAAUGCUGCUUCAUUGGUGCCCUAUCAAAAUCAUGUCUUUGCCAAGCCUGGUGGCACAUGCCUAUAAUCCCUAAUCCCCAUGGCUUGGGAGGCUGAGACAGGAGGAUUGUGAGUUCAAAGAUGGCCUCAGCAAUUUAGCCAGGGCCUAAGCAAUGAAGAGUUAUGGAAAAUAAGUCCAAGGACAUUUGUCUUAAGCUUUUGUCAUUUAAAAUUGCAGGCCUCAGCCAGAGCAAGGAACACAAAAGAAACUCCACCAGACUGGUACCUAACCUCCUACCCUAAUGGGUCAAUUAAUGCCAAUACAAUAAGCCCCAGGGAAUACCCUAUUUAUAUUCCUGUCCCACCCUAAAGGAAGCCUAUAUAACCCAGACCUUGCUUCAGCAGG